RNAcentral lists this ribosomal RNA (256 nucleotides) under uncultured bacterium. Its description in RNAcentral is "partial 16S ribosomal RNA". It matches the Rfam family "Bacterial small subunit ribosomal RNA", at positions 524 to 777 of the family's 1533-position model. The record is from RNAcentral.
UACGGGGGGGGGCAAGCGUUGUUCGGAAUUACUGGGCGUAAAGGGCCAGUAGGCGGCCAACUAAGUCGGAUGUGAAAUCCCCAGGCUUAACCUGGGAACUGCAUCCGAUACUGGAUGGCUUGAAUUCGGGAGAGGGAUGCAGAAUUCCAGGUGUAGCGGUGAAAUGCGUAGAUAUCUGGAGGAACACCGGUGGCGAAGGCGGCAUCCUGGACCAACACUGACGCUGAGUGAGCGAAAGCCAGGGGAGCAAACGGGG